GAUGAACGCUGGCGGCAUGCCUAACACAUGCAAGUCGGACGGGCAACCCGGGAGACGGUGUUUCCAGUGUCGGCCGGGGGCGUAACGCGAACGAACCUGCCCCUGGGCUGGGAACAACAGCUGGCAACGGCUGCUAAUACCCCGUAGCCUGAGAAGCAAAAGAAGGAAUCCGCCCGUGGUGAGGUUCGCGUCUGAUUUGCUAGAUAGAGAGACACUAGCUUACCUAGGUGAUGAUCAGUGGCUGGUCGGAGAGAAUGAUCGGCCACACUGGGACUGAGACACGGAGCAGGCUCCUACGGGAGGUAGCCGAGGGGAUGACGCCGCAAUGGGGGAAAGGCUGACGGAGCAAUGCGGCGUGGAGGUAGAAGGCCCACGGGUCGUGAACUUCUUUUCCCGGAGAGGAAGCAAUGACGGUAGCUGGUGAAAAAGCAACGGCUAACUCUGUG
RNAcentral lists this ribosomal RNA (446 nucleotides) under uncultured bacterium. RNAcentral describes it as "partial 16S ribosomal RNA". It matches the Rfam family "Bacterial small subunit ribosomal RNA", at positions 28 to 507 of the family's 1533-position model. The record is from RNAcentral.